GACGAACGCUAGCGGCAGGCCUAAUACAUGCAAGUCGUACGGCAACACAGUUGCGAGCAAUCGCAACCGGUGGCGAGUGGCGCACGGGUGAGUAACGCGUAUGUAACCUACCCUUCUCCGGGACAUAACUCCGCGAAAGCGGUGCUAAUAUCCCAUACCAACUCAUCAAGACAUCUUCUUGAGUUGAAAGCAGCAAUGCGGUGAAGGAUGGGCAUGCGUCCCAUUAGCUGGUUGGUGAGGUAAUGGCCCACCAAGGCUACGAUGGGUAGGGGUUCUGAGAGGAAAGCCCCCAACUGGUACUGAGACACGGACCAGACUCCUACGGGAGGCAGCAGUAAGGAAUAUUGGGCAAUGGUCGAAAGACUGACCCAGCCAUGCCGCGUGCAGGAUGAAGCCCUAUGGGUUGAAACUGCUUUUAGCCGGGAAUAAACACCCGUUUAUAACGGGCCCGAAGGUACCGCUGAAUAAGCAUCGGCUAACUCCGUGCCAGCAGCCGACGG
Molecule: ribosomal RNA, 500 nt
Filed under: uncultured bacterium
Lineage: Bacteria
Description: bacterial SSU rRNA
Rfam family: Bacterial small subunit ribosomal RNA
Source: RNAcentral